This 496-nucleotide ribosomal RNA is filed under the name uncultured bacterium. RNAcentral's name for it is "partial 16S ribosomal RNA". It matches the Rfam family "Bacterial small subunit ribosomal RNA", at positions 28 to 506 of the family's 1533-position model. The record is from RNAcentral.
GAUGAACGCUGGCGGCGUGCCUAAUACAUGCAAGUCGAGCGAACAGACGAGGAGCUUGCUCCUCUGACGUUAGCGGCGGACGGGUGAGUAACACGUGGAUAACCUACCUAUAAGACUGGGAUAACUUCGGGAAACCGGAGCUAAUACCGGAUAAUAUAUUGAACCGCAUGGUUCAAUAGUGAAAGACGGUUUUGCUGUCACUUAUAGAUGGAUCCGCGCCGCAUUAGCUAGUUGGUAAGGUAACGGCUUACCAAGGCAACGAUGCGUAGCCGACCUGAGAGGGGGAACGGCCACACUGGAACUGAGACACGGCCCAGGCCCCUACGGGAGGCAGCAGGAGGGAAUCUUCCGAAAUGGGCGAAAGCCUGAGGGAGAAACGCCGGGUGGGUGAUGAAGGUUUUCGGAUCGUAAAACUUUGUUAUUAGGGAAAAAAAAAUGUGUAAGUAACUAUGCCCGUCCUGACGGUACCUAAUCAAAAAGCCACGGCUAACUACGU